This is a long non-coding RNA of Homo sapiens (human), 539 nucleotides long. RefSeq lists it as uncharacterized. The record is from RefSeq and is a predicted model, not a curated record. Lineage: Eukaryota; Metazoa; Chordata; Mammalia; Primates; Hominidae. The transcript is spliced from 2 exons.
UGUAAUACAAGAAUAUGAUUAAAUGUUUCUUUGUAGCAGAUCCUGUUUAUCCCAUUCUAAAAUCAGACCUUUCUAGGGCCAUGUGCAUUUUCUAGUUUCACAUCAACGACUAGUCCAUUAUCUCUCGGCUACAAGCAUCUUGGCUGAGAACAUUAUUCCCACAAUGACCCCAUUUUUAGGUUCUUUGACAAAGAUGCAAAAGAAAUAUAGCUACGUUGGCCAUCCCACAAAGGAGAUGAUGUUCCUCUCUGAGAUAAAGCCCAUUGGAAUUUUUGUGGUACAGACAAAUGAAUAGCAGACAUCAAUGAAGGAUAGCGUGAAGAGGAAAAAGUGUGUGGGGGUAUGAAGAGACCCUACCAGUGCUCAACCUCGAGGGCCCUUCUUUCCCACUGUCUUGAAGGGGGCAAAUCUGAUGAUGCAGCAGGCAAGAGCCAUCAGCACAGUCUUCAGUCUCUGACAAGCUGUAAGAGUUCUUUGGAGAAUUUUCCAUGACUUCUAUUUGAAAACUUGCCCAGAAGGCCCUCUUCACAAGCAAGCAG